This 22-nucleotide microRNA is filed under the name Triops cancriformis. Its description in RNAcentral is "tcf-miR-10316c". The record is from miRBase by way of RNAcentral. Lineage: Eukaryota; Metazoa; Arthropoda; Branchiopoda; Notostraca; Triopsidae.
GAACGGUCCGAGUCGACUCGCU